AGUGAACGCUGGCGGUAGGCCUAACACAUGCAAGUCGAACGGCAGCACAGUAAGAGCUUGCUCUUACGGGUGGCGAGUGGCGGACGGGUGAGGAAUACAUCGGAAUCUACUUUUUCGUGGGGGAUAACGUAGGGAAACUUACGCUAAUACCGCAUACGACCUACGGUUGAAAGCAGGGGAUCUUCUGACCUUGCGCGAUUGAAUGAGCCGCUGUCGGAUUAGCUAGUUGGCGGGGUAAAGGCCCACCAAGGCGACGAUCCGUAGCUGGUCUGAGAGGAUGAUAAGCCACACUGGAACUGAGACACGGUCCAGACUCCUACGGGAGGCAGCAGUGGGGAAUAUUGGACAAUGGGCGCAAGCCUGAUCCAGCCAUACCGCGUGGGUGAAGAAGGCCUUCGGGUUGUAAAGACCUUUUGUUGGGAAAGAAAAGCAGCAGGUUAAUACCCCGCUGUUCUGACGGUACCCAAAGAAUAAGCACCGGCUAACUUCGUG
Molecule: ribosomal RNA, 492 nt
Filed under: uncultured bacterium
Lineage: Bacteria
Description: partial 16S ribosomal RNA
Rfam family: Bacterial small subunit ribosomal RNA
Source: RNAcentral